This 540-nucleotide ribosomal RNA is filed under the name Klebsiella pneumoniae. RNAcentral's name for it is "bacterial SSU rRNA". It matches the Rfam family "Bacterial small subunit ribosomal RNA", at positions 1 to 532 of the family's 1533-position model. The record is from RNAcentral. Lineage: Bacteria; Pseudomonadati; Pseudomonadota; Gammaproteobacteria; Enterobacterales; Enterobacteriaceae.
AAAUUGAAGAGUUUGAUCAUGGCUCAGAUUGAACGCUGGCGGCAGGCCUAACACAUGCAAGUCGAGCGGUAGCACAGAGAGCUUGCUCUCGGGUGACGAGCGGCGGACGGGUGAGUAAUGUCUGGGAAACUGCCUGAUGGAGGGGGAUAACUACUGGAAACGGUAGCUAAUACCGCAUAAUGUCGCAAGACCAAAGUGGGGGACCUUCGGGCCUCAUGCCAUCAGAUGUGCCCAGAUGGGAUUAGCUAGUAGGUGGGGUAACGGCUCACCUAGGCGACGAUCCCUAGCUGGUCUGAGAGGAUGACCAGCCACACUGGAACUGAGACACGGUCCAGACUCCUACGGGAGGCAGCAGUGGGGAAUAUUGCACAAUGGGCGCAAGCCUGAUGCAGCCAUGCCGCGUGUGUGAAGAAGGCCUUCGGGUUGUAAAGCACUUUCAGCGGGGAGGAAGGCGUUAAGGUUAAUAACCUUGUCGAUUGACGUUACCCGCAGAAGAAGCACCGGCUAACUCCGUGCCAGCAGCCGCGGUAAUACGGAGGG